ACGACUCUCGACAACGGAUAUCUCGGCUCUCGCAUCGAUGAAGAACGUAGCGAAAUGCGAUACUUGGUGUGAAUUGCAGAAUCCCGUGAACCAUCGAGUCUUUGAACGCAAGUUGCGCCCGAUGCCGUCAGGCUGAGGGCACGUCUGCCUGGGUGUCACGC
Molecule: ribosomal RNA, 161 nt
Filed under: Prangos sp. 2 DL-2018
Lineage: Eukaryota; Viridiplantae; Streptophyta; Magnoliopsida; Apiales; Apiaceae
Description: 5.8S ribosomal RNA
Rfam family: 5.8S ribosomal RNA
About the family: 5.8S ribosomal RNA (5.8S rRNA) is a component of the large subunit of the eukaryotic ribosome.
Source: RNAcentral